Molecule: long non-coding RNA, 222 nt
Filed under: Vigna radiata
Lineage: Eukaryota; Viridiplantae; Streptophyta; Magnoliopsida; Fabales; Fabaceae
Description: long non-coding RNA (VRAD_LNC014930)
Source: RNAcentral
CGGGGUGCAACGUAGGAUCUCGGUUUGGGAACAUAGUAUUUCAUUUCUAUUUUCCAUUGCAUCGACUUGACGCAUGACUGCAUUUGAAAUCUUUUCAAAAUGAACAUUUGUAAAUCUAAUGACAUUUGUGAAACCAUCUAGGCUGGUCGUCAAUUUAUUAAGUUGAGCAUCAAUAACAUCGACCAUAGGUGUCUUCCUUUUGGAACCUUGUGAGGAUGAAGU